RNAcentral lists this ribosomal RNA (830 nucleotides) under uncultured Actinomycetes bacterium. Its description in RNAcentral is "bacterial SSU rRNA". It matches the Rfam family "Bacterial small subunit ribosomal RNA", at positions 615 to 1447 of the family's 1533-position model. Lineage: Bacteria; Bacillati; Actinomycetota; Actinomycetes. The record is from RNAcentral.
CNUGACNUGCAUUCGAUACGGUCGAGCUAGAGUGUGGUAGGGGAGACUGGGAUUCCUGGUGUAGCGGUGGAAUGCGCAGAUAUCAGGAGGAACACCGAUGGCGAAGGCAGGUCUCUGGGCCAUUACUGACACUGAGGAGCGAAAGCGUGGGGAGCGAACAGGAUUAGAUACCCUGGUAGUCCACGCCGUAAACGGUGGGCGCUAGUUGUGCGAACCUUCCACGGUUUGUGCGACGCAGCUAACGCAUUAAGCGCCCCGCCUGGGGAGUACGAUCGCAAGAUUAAAACUCAAAGGAAUUGACGGGGCCCCGCACAAGCAGCGGAGCAUGCGGCUUAAUUCGACGCAACGCGAAGAACCUUACCAAGGCUUGACAUAUACAGGAAUAUGGCAGAGAUGUCAUAGCCGCAAGGUCUGUAUACAGGUGGUGCAUGGUUGUCGUCAGCUCGUGUCGUGAGAUGUUGGGUUAAGUCCCGCAACGAGCGCAACCCUCGUUCUGUGUUGCCAGCAUUUAGUUGGGGACUCACAGGAGACUGCCGGGGUUAACUCGGAGGAAGGUGGGGAUGACGUCAAAUCAUCAUGCCCCUUAUGUCUUGGGCUGCACGCAUGCUACAAUGGCUGGUACAAACGGCUGCAAUACCGCAAGGUGGAGCGAAUCCGAGAAAGCCAGUCUCAGUUCGGAUUGGGGUCUGCAACUCGACCCCAUGAAGUCGGAGUUGCUAGUAAUCGUAGAUCAGCAACGCUACGGUGAAUACGUUCCCGGGGCUUGUACACACCGCCCGUCACAUCACGAAAGUCGGUAACACCCAAAGUCAGUGGCCCAACCGCAAGGA